CCCAUUCGAACCCGGAAGCCUCCGGCUCGCUCCCGGGGCUGUUCGUUUGGCGGAGGGCGAGAACGGCAGCGCGAGCGCUCUGUGCAUGUCCAGAGGCGCUCUUGACGCUUUUCUUUCACAGGUCCCGGCGCUUGUUUGAAACCUGGCCCGGAUCCAGAUAAGGUGGGAGGAGGGGAGAGAGGGAGGGAGAAAGAGAGAGAGAGAGCGAGAGAGAGAGGACCGGCUGGCUGCGGUUUCUGGCCGCCUCCGUGGGAGGGGCGAGGGAUUCCCCCCUCCCCUCCCCUCCGCUCGUUCCCACGGCUGCAUCCAGCCUGCGCCAUCCGGAGCUGGUCGCGGUACUAGGUAGGUAGGGUGGCGGGGUGAGGGACGCGCGCCCACCUGGAGGACAGGUGGCGGGGUGGGGUCUCUGCGGCAGGACGAGGCAGACCCCCCCUCCUCAGCUGCUAGGGGAAAAGCGAUCUGCCCACCCCCUUUCUCCCCCCCCCCACCGCCUCUAAAAACCUCCUCUUGACACUCUCUCUCUCCAACAAACGAGGCGUUUUUACGCUUGGAGCCGGGAGGGGAGGGGUGAAUGGAGCUGUGGGGAGAGGGAGAGGGGAGGAGGCGAUUCCGCGGCGGUGUGUACAGAAGCUGAUUGGGCCCCUCUUGCUCCCCCCCAUCGUUCUCUCACCAGCACCCCCUCCAGCAGCGAUCGGCUGCCCCCUCCCCAAAUUCUCCUUUGUGUCUGGCUCUUAGAAUUUCACCAGCCAGGCUGGCUCCCUCCAGUCCUUGCAUCAGGCAGAGUUGAAGGACCAGACCGAGCUGCGGAAAACAAGGAUGACACAGCCUGGGCGGGUGGCGGGGGCGACCCCCGAAAGCUGGCGGGCUCUCCCCUGCCUUCUGCUCCGCUGCAGCCCUCUGGUCUAAAGCAAGCAGCCUCUUGACCUGGGUCGGCAGCUCUCGCCUGUCGCCACCGCAGGCCUCUGCCCUCCAAACCCUGUCCUACUAGCCUGUUGUUGUGGCCGAGAGGGUGAGGACUCUGCCACAGCCUGGCCGGAGGUUGGAUCUGGCCCCAUUCCCUGCAGAAAGCUUUGCCCUCCAAGGCCACAGGAUCCUACGCAAAGGGUCAGUCUUCUGUCUCCAUUUCUGCAGUGGGGAAGCUGAGCUGUGGAAGACCAGGUCAGACUGUGGGAAGCGUUGAGGAAAUCUCAGGGGAUGGAAGCGGGCUGGGCCACCUAAAAACAAGACCAGGAAGGGAAAACAGGAGGAGAGUCUGCUGAGAAGUCUUGGAGGCCUUGAAGGAAAAGAUUGGAGCUCUUCAUUCCAAGAGAAGGAGGUCUUCAGUCACCAGACUGAAGGCACACAAGGUGAAUAUUAAGAUCUUCAGUGCCCCUGACUGGAGGCGAAGCUUAGAGGCCUUCGCUCCGCCUGACCGAAAGCACACAGAGAAUUCACUGGCUUCCCCAAUAAUUUGGGAGACGUGCAUUCAUUGAUAGCAGCCUCUAUCACCAUCCUCAGUGGUGGCCUGAACAUCUCAGCUGGUCUGCUGUUGUUGCCAUUUGGGGAGAUUGAAACAUUGCUCCUCAUCGCCACAUAGUCAGACGUGCCGCAAAAACCAAUAGUUUUCCGAUGAGACUGGCUCGCCCUGAAGAAAAGGUCACAAGCUCUCAUCCUGCAAGGAGUGCGUCUCUUUCUCUGCGUUCCUCAAGCCCCAGGUGACCUGGCUGUGGUAGGAGAUGCAGCCUUCAGAACUGGGGAUCGCACUCUGAGCCCCGCAGGUGCUCCCAAACCAAUGAGGGGGAGGGCGCCCAGCUGGUGACCCCCGCCUGCCUCUCAUGCCA
Molecule: long non-coding RNA, 1820 nt
Filed under: Podarcis muralis (Common wall lizard)
Lineage: Eukaryota; Metazoa; Chordata; Lepidosauria; Squamata; Lacertidae
Description: lncRNA (ENSPMRG00000022749.1)
Source: RNAcentral